RNAcentral lists this ribosomal RNA (565 nucleotides) under uncultured bacterium. RNAcentral describes it as "bacterial SSU rRNA". It matches the Rfam family "Bacterial small subunit ribosomal RNA", at positions 349 to 906 of the family's 1533-position model. The record is from RNAcentral.
CAGCAGUGGGGAAUUUUGGACAAUGGGCGCAAGCCUGAUCCAGCCAUGCCGCGUGCAGGAAGAAGGCCUUCGGGUUGUAAACUGCUUUUGUCAGGGAAGAAAUCUUUUGGGUUAAUACCCCGGGAGGAUGACGGUACCUGAAGAAUAAGCACCGGCUAACUACGUGCCAGCAGCCGCGGUAAUACGUAGGGUGCNAGCGUUAAUCGGAAUUACUGGGCGUAAAGCGUGCGCAGGCGGUUUUGUAAGACAGAUGUGAAAUCCCCGGGCUCAACCUGGGAACUGCAUUUGUGACUGCAUGGCUAGAGUACGGCAGAGGGGGAUGGAAUUCCGCGUGUAGCAGUGAAAUGCGUAGAUAUGCGGAGGAACACCGAUGGCGAAGGCAAUCCCCUGGGCCUGUACUGACGCUCAUGCACGAAAGCGUGGGGAGCAAACAGGAUUAGAUACCCUGGUAGUCCACGCCCUAAACGAUGUCAACUGGUUGUUGGANNGGCUUGCUGNUCAGUAACGAAGCUAACGCGUGAAGUUGACCGCCUGGGGAGUACGGCCGCAAGGUUGAAACUCAAAG